RNAcentral lists this transfer RNA (89 nucleotides) under Parcubacteria group bacterium. RNAcentral's name for it is "tRNA-Ser". It matches the Rfam family "tRNA". From Rfam's summary of the family: Transfer RNA (tRNA) molecules are approximately 80 nucleotides in length. The record is from RNAcentral.
GGUGGGGUGGCUGAGUUUGGUUGAAAGCGCCGCACUCGAAAUGCGGUAUCCUCGUAAGAGGAUCGUGAGUUCGAAUCUCACCCCCACCG